Molecule: ribosomal RNA, 464 nt
Filed under: uncultured bacterium
Lineage: Bacteria
Description: partial 16S ribosomal RNA
Rfam family: Bacterial small subunit ribosomal RNA
Source: RNAcentral
GACGAACGCUGGCGGCGUGCUUAACACAUGCAAGUCGAACGGUAAGGCCCCAGCUUGCUGGGGUACACGAGUGGCGAACGGGUGAGUAACACGUGGGUGACCUGCCCCGCACUUCGGGAUAAGCCUGGGAAACUGGGUCUAAUACCGGAUAGGACCGCACCGUGAGGGUGUGGUGGAAAGUUUUUCGGUGUGGGAUGGGCUCGCGGCCUAUCAGCUUGUUGGUGGGGUAAUGGCCUACCAAGGCGGCGACGGGUAGCCGGCCUGAGAGGGUGGACGGCCACAUUGGGACUGAGACACGGCCCAGACUCCUACGGGAGGCAGCAGUGGGGAAUAUUGCACAAUGGGCGGAAGCCUGAUGCAGCGACGCCGCGUGGGGGAUGACGGCCUUCGGGUUGUAAACUCCUUUCACCAUCGACGAAGGUUUUCUGACGGUAGAUGGAGAAGAAGCACCGGCUAACUACGUG